UUAUGGCCAUAUCAUGUUGAAGCACUGAUUCCUGUAUAAUCACUGAAGUUAAGCAACAUCAAGCCUGGCCAGUACCUAGACAGGUGACCGUUUGGGAAUACCAGGUGCU
Molecule: non-coding RNA, 109 nt
Organism: Acanthosepion pharaonis
Lineage: Eukaryota; Metazoa; Mollusca; Cephalopoda; Sepiida; Sepiidae
Source: the annotation of a GenBank genome assembly